RNAcentral lists this transfer RNA (64 nucleotides) under Mecomma ambulans. Its description in RNAcentral is "tRNA-Trp". The record is from RNAcentral. Lineage: Eukaryota; Metazoa; Arthropoda; Insecta; Hemiptera; Miridae.
AAAGCUUUAAGUUAAAAAAACUAUUAAUUUUCAAAGUUAAAAUUAUAAUAUAUUAUAAGCUUUA